Non-coding RNA from Oryctolagus cuniculus (rabbit), 2482 nucleotides. The record is from RefSeq and is a predicted model, not a curated record. Lineage: Eukaryota; Metazoa; Chordata; Mammalia; Lagomorpha; Leporidae.
AUGACAGAGUCUAUUAGCAAAGUAGUUUUGCAUUUGUACCAUCUGGGUUCCUGAAUCAGCACUAACAGAAACCAUAGACCUCGUCAAUGAUUCUAUCUAGAGGAAUUAUGAGUCACAACAGGAAUAUAGAUACCUGGAAAUACUAAAAAUCGAGCAAGUAGACUGCAAAAUUUCUGUUGAGAUAAGUAUUAUGGAUUGUAUUAGACCUCACUCAAGUUCCUGUGACAGAAACAAAACUCAAUCAGAUAAGUUCACAAGACGAUUGAUUGAGUUACAUUAAAGGGUAUCUAGGAGGCAAUCUACUCAAGACAUGAUGUAAUCAAGGAGCUCUUGCAAUGCUGCCAGGGGUGGUUCCCCACAUCCCGCCCCGCCACCAUCUUUCCUUCCUCCCUCUUUGCCCCUCCCUCCUGUCCUGGUCUCCUUGGCUUUUCUCAGUAAUUCAACAUUAUUUUCAAACAUAAUUACUUCACAUCUUGGAAUUCAUGAUUUGUACUUCUGAGCCCAUGUUCCAGUGAUUGACAAGAAAGGAUGAAGAGAGAUACUCUGCUCUAAUAAUCCUGUGCCAGCUUUCAAAAGAUGUUUUCAGCUGACAUGUGUGCCUACCUUGAAUUAAACUCUGUGACUUUUUGAGGGAGCAGAACCUUGUGUCCUGCGGACCUAAGGCUAUGGCUGUACUGUAUUGUUGGACUACACUUUAUCAUGUUAGCCUUUCGCUGGGCUCUGAGAUGCAACCCAUGGAACAGUGGAGAUGUAAUGAGCAGUUGUUUGAUCACCAAGGAGAUUCGUCACCAAAGCAGGACCUUUCCUCAUUCUGGCUUUUGGCAUUAACUCUGGUUAUUUGAGUUAGUACUCAUUUCUGUCACCGAAUCCCCAGUUCAUGUAUGCAGAAACAGGAUCAAUCGAGACACAAAGAGCACCAUGAAGAUAUGUGAGACUUUUCAUCUCUUUAUGACCUCAAAUGCCAUGUUUAGGUUAAUGAAUGACUACAUGGAAAAAGAAGCAAGAAAAUGUAAAGCCAAUGCUUUCACUGCUUAAUGUCACAAAAGGAUAACACAUCUUAUGUUUUAUGAUGGAGGAGUCAUGUGGUAUUAGUACUAGGUGUUCCUGCCAGAAGCAUCAAUCCAGAUGGGGAUAUUAAUUUAUUUGACCAGAUGUGUAACAAUGUCACUCUGAAAGGCAGUUCUGGUAUGCUGAACUGACAUAUAUCAGCGUAGAAAUUCCACUGCUAAUAGAAUAUUUCUGAAUUAGUGGCUCUCCAGUGGGAUCUCAAUCACUUUGAACCACAAAGAAGGUACGAUUUUAGCACAAGACUUUUAGAAAGACAAGACUUAAGGUCCCAUGUAGUCUGAAAACUUCAUUUGAAAAAAGAGGAAGCUAAGGUUCCAAGAGGUAAAGUAUGCAACAAGAACUUCUCAAUUCAUGUGCGGCAAAAUUGAAGAAAAAUUCUGGACCCCAGAACUAAGAAGAUGUCUUUGCUCUGUGUCCUUCAUUGAAUGUUCAUAUAUUCCAUCAUUUCAGUGAGCAGAUGUACACGUAGCACUCACUGUGAGACAGCCACUUUACUAGGCAUUUCAUAAACAGCGGUGAAAUGGCAAGCGGGAUGCCUGCUUUUAAGGAGCGUACCCUCUGGUGGCCAGUGUCACACAGAAGUGAGCACAUCUGUGCAAAAUUAACUGCCGUGAUGACAAUGCAAGGCCGAUGCUGCAGAGUGCCUGGAGCAAGGCCGCACAGGUAGAGUGAAAGAGAAAAGUCAGGCCAUUUCUCAUCACAUUUUGACUACUGUGAAAAGAAGCCGGUGAAGUGGUGAAAGACUUUCCAGUAUGUGGAAAGAACCAACACGAGAUCUUUGUGAGUUUGGGGAGGAGGAGGCACAGGUAGAGGCACAAUGAGCUGUGGAGAGACUGGAAGAUGCUGUGAAGAGAGAAGCGAAAGGAAGCCAGUUACUGCAAACCCUAUCAAGUUACUUCUAUUCCAAAUGCAAUGGGAAAAAUCGAAAAGAUCUCAAAGAAGCAAUAGACUCCGAUUUUCAAGCACCUAUUUGUGCAUUAAAGUCUAUCCCAAGAUAUGUAAUUCUUUUAAGCUGCAGAGUACUUUCACAUCCUUCUGUAUUUCAUUAAAAUAUUAUAAUAACUUCAAUUGCAGUAAAGAGCGGAGGAAUUUUACAAAAGAAAUCUCAGUUAAACAAUCAACGGGUUGAUUGGGUUUGUCGUUGUUGCUGUUGUUCUGUUUGUUAACAGACUUUCUUGAUUUUUAGCAGUUUGAGCUUCACCGCAUUGAGCAGCUUGUACAAAUGGUUCUCAAACACUCCCCUCCUCCUAUUCCUAUUUUGCAUGAGUAUGGUACAUUCAUUAGAAACCAUUAACUGAUAUGGAGACCUCCCGAUUGUCAUUAUGGUUCACAUUGUGUUGUAUAGUUCUAUGGGACAGAAUAAUUCCCUGUGAUCCAUGUAUUCAUCCCACCUCCUCUACCUCCAAACUCUUGG